CCCUUAGAUGUUCUGGGCUGCACGCGCGCUACACUGAUGCGUUCAACGAGUUAUUAUUUCCUUGCCCGACAGGGUUGGGUAAUCUUUUGAAAACGCAUCGUGAUGGGGAUAGAUUAUUGUAAUUAUUAAUCUUCAACGAGGAAUUCCUAGUAAGUGCGAAUCAUCAGUUCGCGCUGAUUACGUCCCUGCCCUUUGUACACACCGCCCGUCGCUCCUACCGAUGAGUGGUCCGGUGAAUAAUUCGGACUGGACUUUUACGCGGUUCUCCGUGUGCUUGUCCGGGAAGUCUAGUGAACCUUAUCACUUAGAGGAAGGAGAAGUCGUANCA
Molecule: ribosomal RNA, 328 nt
Filed under: uncultured eukaryote
Lineage: Eukaryota
Description: partial 18S ribosomal RNA
Rfam family: Eukaryotic small subunit ribosomal RNA
Source: RNAcentral